Molecule: ribosomal RNA, 476 nt
Filed under: uncultured bacterium
Lineage: Bacteria
Description: bacterial SSU rRNA
Rfam family: Bacterial small subunit ribosomal RNA
Source: RNAcentral
UGAACGCUGGCGGCAGGCCUAACACAUGCAAGUCGAGCGUGAAAAGCCUUCGGGCUGAGUAAAGCGGCGGACGGGUGAGUAACGCGUAGGAAUCUACCUGGUAGUGGGGGACAACAUGGGGAAACUCAUGCUAAUACCGCAUACGCCCUACGGGGGAAAGCGGGGGACCUUCGGGCCUCGCGCUAUCAGAUGAGCCUGCGUUGGAUUAGCUUGUUGGUGAGGUAAAAGCUCACCAAGGCGACGAUCCAUAGCUGGUCUGAGAGGAUGAUCAGCCACACUGGGACUGAGACACGGCCCAGACUCCUACGGGAGGCAGCAGUGGGGAAUAUUGCGCAAUGGGGGAAACCCUGACGCAGCCAUGCCGCGUGUGUGAAGAAGGCCUUAGGGUUGUAAAGCACUUUCAAUUGGGAAGAAAGGUUGUACGUUAAUAGCGUGCAGCUGUGACGUUACCUUUAGAAGAAGCACCGGCUAACUCC